GAUGAACGCUGGCGGCGUGCCUAACACAUGCAAGUCGAACGGAAAGGCUCCUGCUUGCAGGGGUACUCGAGUGGCGAACGGGUGAGUAACACGUGGGUGAUCUGCCCUGCACUUCGGGAUAAGCCUGGGAAACUGGGUCUAAUACCGGAUAGGACGAUGGUUUGGAUGCCAUUGUGGAAAGUUUUUUCGGUGUGGGAUGAGCUCGCGGCCUAUCAGCUUGUUGGUGGGGUAAUGGCCUACCAAGGCGUCGACGGGUAGCCGGCCUGAGAGGGUGUACGGCCACAUUGGGACUGAGAUACGGCCCAGACUCCUACGGGAGGCAGCAGUGGGGAAUAUUGCACAAUGGGCGCAAGCCUGAUGCAGCGACGCCGCGUGGGGGAUGACGGCCUUCGGGUUGUAAACUCCUUUCGCUAGGGACGAAGCGCAAGUGACGGUACCUGGAGAAGAAGCACCGGCUAACUACGUG
Molecule: ribosomal RNA, 466 nt
Filed under: uncultured bacterium
Lineage: Bacteria
Description: partial 16S ribosomal RNA
Rfam family: Bacterial small subunit ribosomal RNA
Source: RNAcentral